GGCUGGGGCGGCACAUCUGUUAAAUGAUAACGCAGGUGUCCUAAGGUAAGCUCAAUGAGAACAGAAAUCUCAUGUGGACCAAAAGCGGAAGAGCUUGCGCAAGUCGUCAGAGG
Molecule: non-coding RNA, 113 nt
Filed under: Symbiodinium microadriaticum
Lineage: Eukaryota; Dinophyceae; Suessiales; Symbiodiniaceae
Description: Eukaryotic large subunit ribosomal RNA
Rfam family: Eukaryotic large subunit ribosomal RNA
Source: Rfam by way of RNAcentral